Molecule: non-coding RNA, 952 nt
Organism: Nicotiana tabacum (common tobacco)
Lineage: Eukaryota; Viridiplantae; Streptophyta; Magnoliopsida; Solanales; Solanaceae
Source: RefSeq, a predicted model, not a curated record
CCAUCAAACCCCUCCCUUAAUCAUAGCCAUUGAUCUACUUUCAUCCAAAGGCCAAUACUCACUCCCCACUAUCAUAUAAAAACCAAAUUAACAUCCAAAAACCCUAAGCUAAUUCACAUGAACCUAGCCGAUGCGCCCACACCUCAUCUUUACCGCAUAAUUGAUUUUUUUACAAAAAUGACACUCACUGUACACAGAUCAUAGAGAGGAAAACUCCUAACCUAGUUGUUGCUUGCUCCUUCUGUUUUGAGACAUCAUCAGCGCUUCACCUCCCCUUUAGAACUUCAUCAUUCUUUCCCUCAAAAUUAAAGAUACACACACACAUAAACAUAGAAAAGAGGCAGUCGCCUCCCCUCAAAAAGCCCCCUCUUAUUUUCUGUCUCGCCUCAUCGCCGACGAGCUCAGCCAAAAACCGGCGACGGCUACUGCUCCUCCUCCUCCUCCUCCGUCUUCUUCCCAAUUAUUUGUUACUGCUGCGACGGAAGGUGACGAAUCUGGCUGGAAAUCCGGUUUUAAAAGCUAUGGAGUUUCAAUGGAGGUUUUUUGCGCCGUUGAAUUGAGGUUAUCGUCGAGGUCCCCGGUUCGAUCUUUCCGUUUAGUUGGUGAUUCGGGUAGUGUUUGAGUUAUAUCGGUACUCUCUUCCUCGAUGUAUUCAGAGAAAUUCAAUAUUUAAACAAAUUUCAAAGCUUCUGUUCAUUUAAAGAUUCUUAAUCCAAAUCCAGAUGCAAUGUCCAAGUUGAAUACUGAAAAUGCUAGUAAAGAAUUUCUGCAUUCAUUAAGCAAUUAUUGUCAAAAGUGGAAACGUCACACGAUAUGGUUCUACAUGUGUUGUAGUUGCCCAAUGACAAAUGCUUUUGCUUUACUUUUUUUUUAUAUAAAAGAUUAUUGAAUAAGUGCAUUGUUUUCCUUUGAGUUUACAUAGUUAUCAAAAUUAGUGUAUUCAUUUGUUACA